CCAUAUCAAGAGGCAGCAGGCGCGCAAUUACCCAAUCCUGACUCAGGGAGGUAGUGACAAGAAAUAACAAUAAACCGGCUUAUGCCGGUUUAAUUGGAAUGAGUACAAUUUAAACAUCUUAACGAGGAACAAUUGGAGGGCAAGUCUGGUGCCAGCAGCCGCGGUAAUUCCAGCUCCAAUAGCGUAUACUAAAGUUGUUGCAGUUAAAAAGCUCGUAGUUGGAUUUCUGUGGGGACGGAGCGGCCGGCCGCAACACGCGGUUCGAGCUAGCGCUUUCCCUACAUCCUGCCGCGAACCGUGCUACCAUUAAUUUGGUGGCGCCGGGGAUCGGCUCGAUUACUUUGAGAAAAAUAGAGUGUUCAAAGCAGGCCACAUGCCUUGAAUAAGUUAGCAUGGAAUAAUAACUAAGGACUUCGGUUCUAUUUUGUUGGUGUUCGGGACUGAAGUAAUGAUUGAUAGGGACAGUUGGGGCGGUCUGUAUUCCAAAGCGAGAGGUGAAAUUCUUAGACCUUCGGAAGACAAACAGCUGCGAAAGCGUUCCGCAAGGAUGUUCCCUUUGAUCAAGAACGAAAGUUGGGGGAUCGAAGACGAUCAGAUACCGUCGUAGUCUCAACUAUAAACUAUACCAGCUAGGGAUCGGCCAACGUUAUUUCAUACCGACUUGGUCGGCACCUUAUGAGAAAUCAAAGCAUCUGGGUUCCGGGGGGAGUAUGGUCGCAAGGCUGAAACUUAAAGGAAUUGACGGAAGGGCACCACCAGCCGUGGAGCCUGUGGCUUAAUUUGACUCAACACGGGAAAACUUACCAGGUCCAGACAUAGUAAGGAUUGACAGAUUGAUAGCUCUUUCUUGAUUCUGUGGGUGGUGGUGCAUGGCCGUUCUUAGUUGGUGGAGUGAUUUGUCUGGUUAAUUCCGUUAACGAACGAGACCCCAGCCUGCUAAAUAGCGCGCGUGAGCUUUGCUCGCGGCGAGCUUCUUAGAGGGACUCUGAUGCGCGAUAGCACAUGGAAGUUUGGGGCAAUAACAGGUCUGUGAUGCCCUUAGAUGUUCUGGGCCGCACACGGGCUACACUGGCGCCUGCAACGAGCAUAUCAGCUGGCCCGAGAGGGUCUUGGCUAAUCUUUUGAACCGGCGCCGUGCUUGGGAUUGACCUUUGCAAUUGUUGGUCAUGCAACGAGGAAUGCCUUGUAAACGCGAGUCAUCAGCUCGCAUUGAAUACGUCCCUGCCCUUUGUACACACCGCCCGUCGCUCCUACCGAUGAAUGUUCCGAUGAAAUUUUCGGAGAGCACCUGUGAACUUGGCUCUGCCUUGCGAACGGGAGGCUCAAAGUCACAUAAAUCUGAACAUUGAAG
RNAcentral lists this ribosomal RNA (1351 nucleotides) under uncultured marine eukaryote. RNAcentral's name for it is "SSU rRNA". It matches the Rfam family "Eukaryotic small subunit ribosomal RNA", at positions 410 to 1778 of the family's 1831-position model. The record is from RNAcentral.